Molecule: ribosomal RNA, 564 nt
Filed under: uncultured organism
Description: bacterial SSU rRNA
Rfam family: Bacterial small subunit ribosomal RNA
Source: RNAcentral
UAUCCCGCCUGGGGAGUACGCCCGCAAGGCUCAAACUCAAAGGAAUUGACGGGGGCCCGCACAAACGCUGGAGCAUAUGGUUUAAUUCGAAGCAACGCGCAGAACCUUACCUGGGCUUGAAAUCCCCGGACCGCCAUGGAAACAUGGUGUCCUCUUCGGAGACCGGGUGACAGAUGCUGCAUGGCUGUCGUCAGCUCGCGUCGUGAGAUGAUUGGGUUAAGUCCCGCAACGAGCGCAACCCUCGUCGUUAGUUGCCAUCAUUAAGUUGGGCACUCUAGCGAGACUGCCGGUGUCAAACCGGAGGAAGAUGGGGAUGAUGUCAAGUCCUCAUGGCCCUUAUGUCCAGGGCUACACACGUGCUACAAUGGCAGGUACAAAGAGCAGCGAACUCGCGAGGGCAAGCGAAUCUCUCUCAGCCUGUCUCAGUACGGACUGGAGGCAGCACUUAGACGACAUCAAUGCGGACGCAUUAGUAAUCGCGGAUCAGCAUGCCGCGGUGNAUACGUUCCCGGGCCUUGUACACACCGCCCGUCACACCAUAGGAGUUGGCUACUCCAGAAGUCG